CGAGUAGGCGGUUAUUUAAGUCAGAUGUGAAAACUCACGGCUCAACCGGGAGAUUGCAUUUGAUACUGGAUGGCUUGAGUGCAGGAGAGGGCAGUGGAAUUCCUAGUGUAGCGGUGAAAUGCGUAGAUAUUAGGAGGAACACCAGUGGCGAAGGCGGCUGCCUGGACUGUAACUGACGCUGAGGCGCGAAAGCGUGGGGAGCAAACA
Molecule: ribosomal RNA, 207 nt
Filed under: uncultured bacterium
Lineage: Bacteria
Description: partial 16S ribosomal RNA
Rfam family: Bacterial small subunit ribosomal RNA
Source: RNAcentral